CGAUUGUUUUUGGAAAUCGU
This 20-nucleotide small nuclear RNA is filed under the name Arabidopsis thaliana (thale cress). RNAcentral describes it as "snRNA_00596". Lineage: Eukaryota; Viridiplantae; Streptophyta; Magnoliopsida; Brassicales; Brassicaceae. The record is from RNAcentral.